Molecule: long non-coding RNA, 428 nt
Filed under: Brassica napus (rape)
Lineage: Eukaryota; Viridiplantae; Streptophyta; Magnoliopsida; Brassicales; Brassicaceae
Description: long non-coding RNA (BNAP_LNC010772)
Source: RNAcentral
AUAAGUCUUUGACUUUUGUGCUUUGUGAUUUUUUUUGAAACACCAUUCUUGUGAUCAAUGUGAGUUUGGUUUCUUCAUCAUUAUUGAAUCAAACGGUUGUUUUAUCAAAUGAGAAACUAUAAAAAAUAUAAUGAAUUACAUAUCAUGUGAGUUUAGUUGAUUCACCAUUAUUGAGUUUGGUUUGGUGUGUUAACGUGAGUUUAGUUGCAAUAUGUGCAUGUUUUUCUUAUUACACAGAUUUCAAAAAUCUUAUGAGAAUAGAUGAUAUUUUCAAAGUCUAGUUUUAUGAGUAAAAACAUAAGGAAUUCACCUCCCAAUAACAAUUGAAUUCAUUAGAAUGAUAAAAUCUAUAAUAACUAAACUUUAUGAAUAACAAAUUAUUUGAAUGGAAUUUAAAAGUCUUUAAACCAAUAACAAUGGAUUAUGAU